GAAAUAAAAAUAUUAUUUUAAAAUAUUUGUUUAAAAUUUAUUAAUAAAAAUAAUUUUAUUUAACGUUAUUUUUAGUAUAUUUUAUAGAAAAAAUUUUUUUUAAUUAUAGUUGAUUAGUAUUGUAAAAGAAUUAUGAAAUAUUUUUUUAUUAAUUAAAAGUAAAAUUUAUUUUUUGUACCUUGUGUAUCAGGGUUUAUUAAUUAAAUAUUAUAAAUUUUAAUUUUCCCGAUUUUAAGAGAGUUAAUAAAUUAUUUUUUUUACUGUGAAAAAAGUAUUUAUAAUUAUUUAUUAGUAAUGAAAUGUUAUUCGUUCUUAAAUAUAUCUGGUUUAUUUAGAAAUGAAUUUAAUUCAGAUAUUUUUAAUUUAAUUUAUUAAUUAUAUAAUAAGUUAAAUGAAAAUUUUAAUAAUUAAAGGGAUUAGCUUUUAAUUAAAAUUUUAAAAAUUAAUAUUUUUUAUAAAAAAUGUAGGUUUAGAAAUAUUCAUCAAUAAUAAUUUGUUAUAAUUAAUUUAUAUAUAAAUAUAAUUUUAUAUAAUUUUAAAUAUUUUAUAAAUAAGUAAUUUUUAAUUAAUCAAUAUUAGUUAUAAUGAUAAAAUUAGUAUAAUUUGUUAUUUAAAUAAUUUUAACUGAAAGAUUAUUUAAAGGAAUUCGGCAAAAAUUUUAUUCGCCUGUUUAACAAAAACAUGUCCCUUUGUGUGUAUAUAGGGUCUAACCUGCCCACUGAAAUUUUAAAUGGCCGCAGUAAUUUGACUGUGCAAAGGUAGCAUAAUCAUUAGUUUUUUAAUUAAAAGCUUGUAUGAAGGGUUGGACGAGAUAAAUUCUGUCUCUAUUUAAAUUAAUUUAGAAUUUAACUUUUAAGUCAAAAGGCUUAAAUUUUAUUAAAAGACGAGAAGACCCUAUAGAUCUUUAUAAUUUUUUUUAUAAUUUUAAUUAAGAAUAUUUUAUUUUUUAUAAAAGUAAUUAUUUUAUUGGGGUAAUAGAAAGAUUAAAUAAAUUCUUUUUUAAUGUGAACAUUUAUUUAUGGUUUAAUGAUCCAAUUUUAUUGAUUAUAAGAUUAAGUUACCUUAGGGAUAACAGCGUAAUUUUUUUAGAGAGUUCAUAUCGAUAAAAAAGUUUGCGACCUCGAUGUUGGAUUAAAAAUUAUAUUAGGCGUAGAAGUUUAAUAUUUUGGUCUGUUCGACCAUUAAAUUUUUACAUGAUCUGAGUUCAGACCGGUGUAAGCCAGGUCGGUUUCUAUCUUUAAUAAAUUAAAAUAUUUUAGUACGAAAGGACCAAGUAUUUAAUAUAUCUAUAUUUAUUUUUGAAUAUUAUUAUUACUUUGGCAGAAUAGUGUAAUGAAUUUAGAAUUCAUAAAUGUAAUUGAUUUAC
This 1366-nucleotide ribosomal RNA is filed under the name Amphizoa insolens. Its description in RNAcentral is "16S ribosomal RNA". The record is from RNAcentral. Lineage: Eukaryota; Metazoa; Arthropoda; Insecta; Coleoptera; Amphizoidae.